UUAGUUAGACACAGCGCUGAAACUGCGGCGACGGCAUGUAGUCUGCGGAGCCUCGGGGCCAGCUCCAGACCCCGGCAGCGCGCGCAUCCUGACCGCGACCCCGAGCAAGGUCCUCCAGAGGAGCCGCGCUUGGCCGCUGUUAACACAGAGCACACCCUUAGCCGGCGACUGGAAGCCAGCUCACAAGCCCGCGUCCCCAGCACCCCCGGAACAGCGCCUGGCCCCCUCCGGCUGCAGCGCCGACUGCUGCGGGACGGGGAAGAUUUCGAGAAGGAACUGGAAAGAAGCCAGCAAAGCAGAUACGCCGAGGAAAAGCAGGACAGGAGGGCUGUGCGGAACCCCCGCGCUCCCAGCUCAGCCGGGGGAGGGGGUGCAGAGAAAAGCAGAUCCCUCUGUACCACGGAAACCCCGACAGGGUCACGGGACACUCAGCGGACGCAGCUGAGCAUCUGAUGACUCUGAUCGCAGCUGGGCCUGGACGGUGCACACGCCAGCGGCCACGCACCUCUCCCUGCGCCUGGGUGUCUAAUCCCUCCCCCGCCCCAGUCUCCACAAUCUUCUCUGCCCCACGUCACCUCUGAAGAAAUAAAAGUAUUUUCCUCAAAAGGUAGGAAACGAUUGCUGCACUGAAAAACAACAAAAAAGGAUUUUCU
This 653-nucleotide long non-coding RNA is filed under the name Chinchilla lanigera (long-tailed chinchilla). Its description in RNAcentral is "lncRNA (ENSCLAG00000027505.1)". The record is from RNAcentral. Lineage: Eukaryota; Metazoa; Chordata; Mammalia; Rodentia; Chinchillidae.